UGGGGAAUAUUGGACAAUGGGCGAAAGCCUGAUCCAGCGACGCCGCGUGGGUGAAGAAGGCCUGCGGGUUGUAAAGCCCUUUCGGUGGGGAAGAAAAGCCUCGAGUUAACACCUCGGGGUCUUGACGUAACCCAUAGAAGAAGCACCGGCUAACUCUGUGCCAGCAGCCGCGGUAAUACAGAGGGUGCGAGCGUUGAUCGGAAUUACUGGGCGUAAAGCGCGCGUAGGCGGCUUUGCAAGUCGGGUGUGAAAUCCCCAGGCUUAACCUGGGAACUGCAUUCGAGACUGCAUUGCUAGAGUAUGGGAGAGGGAAGUGGAAUUUCCGGUGUAGCGGUGAAAUGCGUAGAUAUCGGAAGGAACAUCAGUGGCGAAAGCGACUUCCUGGACCAAUACUGACGCUCAUGUGCGAAAGCGUGGGGGAGCAAACAGGAUUAGAUACCCUGGUAGUCCACGCCAUAAACGAUGAGAACUGGAUGUCGGGAGGGUCUGCCUCUCGG
RNAcentral lists this ribosomal RNA (497 nucleotides) under uncultured Pseudomonadota bacterium. RNAcentral describes it as "bacterial SSU rRNA". It matches the Rfam family "Bacterial small subunit ribosomal RNA", at positions 355 to 843 of the family's 1533-position model. Lineage: Bacteria; Pseudomonadati; Pseudomonadota. The record is from RNAcentral.